RNAcentral lists this ribosomal RNA (500 nucleotides) under uncultured bacterium. RNAcentral's name for it is "partial 16S ribosomal RNA". It matches the Rfam family "Bacterial small subunit ribosomal RNA", at positions 30 to 523 of the family's 1533-position model. The record is from RNAcentral.
AUUGAACGCUGGCGGAAUGCUUUACACAUGCAAGUCGAACGGCAGCACGGACUUCGGUCUGGUGGCGAGUGGCGAACGGGUGAGUAAUGUAUCGGAACGUGCCCAGUCGUGGGGGAUAACGUAGUGAAAAUUACGCUAAUACCGCAUACGAUCUAUGGAUGAAAGCGGGGGAUCGCAAGACCUCGCGCGAUUGGAGCGGCCGAGAUCAGAUUAGGUAGUUGGUGGGGUAAAGGCCCACCAAGCCAACGAUCUGUAGCUGGUCUGAGAGGACGACCAGCCACACUGGAACUGAGACACGGUCCAGACUCCUCCGGGAGGCAGCAGUGGGGAAUUUUGGACAAUGGGCGAAAGCCUGAUCCAGCCAUUCCGCGUGCAGGAUGAAGGCCCUCGGGUUGUAAACUGCUUUUGUACAGAACGAAAAGGUUUCUACUAAUACUAGGAGCUCAUGACGGUACUGUAAGAAUAAGCACCGGCUAACUACGUGCCAGCAGCCGCAGUAA